AUUGAACGCUGGCGGCAGGCCUAACACAUGCAAGUCGAACGAGUGGCGGACGGGUGAGUAAUGUCUGGGAAACUGCCUGAUGGAGGGGGAUAACUACUGGAAACGGUAGCUAAUACCGCAUACCCUCAGAAGUGCCCAGGUGGGAUUAGCUUGUUGGGGGGGUAACGGCUAACCAAGGCGACGAUCCCUCGCUGGCCUGAGAGGAUGAACGGCCAAACGGGAACUGAGCAACGGGCAAGAUGCUGAGGGGAGGAAGCAGUGGGGAAGAUUGCAAAAUGGGGGCAAUCCUGAGACAGCAAUGCCGGGGGGAUGAAGAAGGCCUUCGGUUUGUAAAGUACUUUCAGCGGGGAGGCGGUACCCGCAGAAGAAGCACCGGCUAACUCCGUGCCAGCAGCCGCGGUAAUUC
RNAcentral lists this ribosomal RNA (406 nucleotides) under uncultured bacterium. Its description in RNAcentral is "partial 16S ribosomal RNA". It matches the Rfam family "Bacterial small subunit ribosomal RNA", at positions 29 to 526 of the family's 1533-position model. The record is from RNAcentral.